CUUAGUCAUUGCACCUCCAACUCGAGGGAGGAAGUUCGAUAAUGAGCUGACAGGACUGAGCGUGAUCGAAAUUGUUUGGAGUCUUUGGUGAACACUGGGUGUCCAACAUAAACACCUGCACAGGAAGAAGUCAGAUUUCACUCGACCUGAUUAUAAGGAAUGGGCUGAAGUGACAUCUACUGUAAAAGCAAAACAUUUGAUGAAAAGAUCUAUACAUGUCUGGGGAAAAGAAACUAAGGAAGGAGAAAAAGGCCAUGACCAACA
Talpa occidentalis (Iberian mole) is the source of this 264-nucleotide long non-coding RNA. RefSeq lists it as uncharacterized. The transcript is spliced from 3 exons. Lineage: Eukaryota; Metazoa; Chordata; Mammalia; Eulipotyphla; Talpidae. The record is from RefSeq and is a predicted model, not a curated record.